Molecule: long non-coding RNA, 911 nt
Filed under: Rhopalosiphum maidis (corn leaf aphid)
Lineage: Eukaryota; Metazoa; Arthropoda; Insecta; Hemiptera; Aphididae
Description: uncharacterized LOC113559616, transcript variant X1
Source: RNAcentral
CCGAUAUCGACUGUUUUUAUAAGGGCUUCAAGAACAACUCCACUUAAAAAUGUUUAAAGCCUCAAAGGCCUCUAAUGAUUAUCAUAGAAUAAUCAACAUAAAUAUCGGCUCCAGUCGACUACACACUACAACACGCUGCUCGAUGCUCGUAGCACUAUAGCUAAUAGCAGUCGUCAAUGGUCGUUUCACCAAUUUCAGCACAAAUCUAGUUUCCCAAGUUCCGUUGUGUUGAUGUACAACAGCGAUCGCCAUACAAGAAUACAACUGGGACUGACUAAAUCAUGAUUUAGCAAGAAACAACAUUGUGAAUUGUGGAGUUUUUGACAUGUAGAUGCUACACAUUACUGCAGAACCUGAAAACUGGUUGAUUGAAAAUAUACUUUUGUCAAAAAACACGUAUAUACUAAAUGAUGUUUCAAAACAAUUUACCAACUGUCAGUGAACUACUAGAAUUACAGAAUUGUUGAAUAGUCCCAAGAAAACGGUGCUGCUUAUUUGAUUAGAUAAGUAUACUAAUAUUCAAAUUCGUAAUUUUUUUAUGAUAUUUUUAUAGAUAUAUAAUUCUGUAGUGAAUAUGAAUAAUUUGUAUAAUAAUAAUAAAAGUACUUAAAAUAAUAAUUAUUACAAUAUAUUAUAUACAAAUAUCCAUAUUUUUAUUAUUUGUUCAUCUAUAAUAUAAUAGGCUGUGCUGAACACGUCUACCCAGAGACCGGCUCAAAUGUAAAAUAUAUAAUUAAUAUUACAAAUAUCCUUUGUUUUAUAUAUAUAUAAAUUUAUUAAUUUUCAUUUUUAUAAUUGAUAUAAAUAAAAAUAAUACAUAUUAUUCAAAUUUUUGAACAUGAAUAUAAAAAAAUGUUUUUUUGUGCCACAAAAAAAGUUACAUUUAAUAAUUCAUACUCAACUAUUUUAGA